This 162-nucleotide ribosomal RNA is filed under the name uncultured bacterium. RNAcentral describes it as "partial 16S rRNA". It matches the Rfam family "Bacterial small subunit ribosomal RNA", at positions 358 to 511 of the family's 1533-position model. The record is from RNAcentral.
GGAAUCUUCCACAAUGGGCGGCAAGCCUGAUGGAGCAACACCGCGUGAGUGAAGAAGGGUUUCGGCUCGUAAAGCUCUGUUGUUAAAGAAGAACACGUAUGAGAGUAACUGUUCAUACGUUGACGGUAUUUAACCAGAAAGUCACGGCUAACUACGUGCCAA